RNAcentral lists this ribosomal RNA (220 nucleotides) under uncultured bacterium. Its description in RNAcentral is "partial 16S ribosomal RNA". It matches the Rfam family "Bacterial small subunit ribosomal RNA", at positions 116 to 334 of the family's 1533-position model. The record is from RNAcentral.
CGUGAGGAACCUGCCUUGAAGAGGGGGACAACAGUUGGAAACGGACUGCUAAUACCGCAUGACGCAUAGAGGUCGCAUGAUCGUUUAUGCCAAAGAUUUAUCGCUUCAAGAUGGCCUCGCGUCUGAUUAGCUAGUUGGUGAGGUAACGGCCCACCAAGGCGACGAUCAGUAGCCGGACUGAGAGGUUGACCGGCCACAUUGGGACUGAGAUACGGCCCAG